GAUGAACGCUGGCGGCGUGCUUAACACAUGCAAGUCGAACGAAGCACUUUAUUUGAUUUCCUUCGGGACUGAUUAUUUUGUGACUGAGUGGCGGACGGGUGAGUAACGCGUGGGUAACCUGCCUUGUACAGGGGGAUAACAGUUGGGAAACGGCUGCUAAUACCGCAUAAGCGCACAGCAUCGCAUGAUGCAGUGUGAAAAACUCCGGUGGUAUAAGAUGGACCCGCGUUGGAUUAGCUAGUUGGUGAGGUAACGGCCCACCAAGGCGACGAUCCAUAGCCGACCUGAGAGGGUGACCGGCCACAUUGGGACUGAGACACGGCCCAAACUCCUACGGGAGGCAGCAGUGGGGAAUAUUGCACAAUGGGCGAAAGCCUGAUGCAGCGACGCCGCGUGAGCGAAGAAGUAUUUCGGUAUGUAAAGCUCUAUCAGCAGGGAAGAUAAUGACGGUACCUGACUAAGAAGCACCGGCUAAAUACGUG
Molecule: ribosomal RNA, 482 nt
Filed under: uncultured bacterium
Lineage: Bacteria
Description: partial 16S ribosomal RNA
Rfam family: Bacterial small subunit ribosomal RNA
Source: RNAcentral